GUACGGAAGGCAGCAGUGGGGAAUAUUGCACAAUGGGCGAAAGCCUGAUGCAGCAACGCCGCGUGAGCGAUGAAGGCCUUCGGGUCGUAAAGCUCUGUCCUCAAGGAAGAUAAUGACGGUACUUGAGGAGGAAGCCCCGGCUAACUACGUGCCAGCAGCCGCGGUAAUACGUAGGGGGCUAGCGUUAUCCGGAAUUACUGGGCGUAAAGGGUGCGUAGGUGGUUUCUUAAGUCAGAAGUGAAAGGCUACGGCUCAACCGUAGUAAGCUUUUGAAACUGAGAAACUUGAGUGCAGGAGAGGAGAGUAGAAUUCCUAGUGUAGCGGUGAAAUGCGUAGAUAUUAGGAGGAAUACCAGUUGCGAAGGCGGCUCUCUGGACUGUAACUGGCACUGAGGCACGAAAGCGUGGGGAGCAAACAGGAUUAGAUACCCGGGUAGUCG
This 439-nucleotide ribosomal RNA is filed under the name uncultured bacterium. Its description in RNAcentral is "bacterial SSU rRNA". It matches the Rfam family "Bacterial small subunit ribosomal RNA", at positions 339 to 796 of the family's 1533-position model. The record is from RNAcentral.